CGGGACGGGUGAGUAACGCGUGGAAAACCUGCCGUAUACUGGGGGAUAACACUUAGAAAUAGGUGCUAAUACCGCAUAAGCGCACAGCUUCGCAUGAAGUGGUGUGAAAAACUCUGGUGGUAUACGAUGGUUCCGCGUCUGAUUAGCUUGUUGGCGGGGUAAUGGCUCACCAAGGCGACGAUCAGUAGCCGGCCUGAGAGGGUGGACGGCCACAUUGGGACUGAGACACGGCCCAAACUCCUACGGAAGGCAGCAG
This 256-nucleotide ribosomal RNA is filed under the name uncultured bacterium. Its description in RNAcentral is "partial 16S ribosomal RNA". It matches the Rfam family "Bacterial small subunit ribosomal RNA", at positions 98 to 354 of the family's 1533-position model. The record is from RNAcentral.